RNAcentral lists this ribosomal RNA (139 nucleotides) under Staphylococcus epidermidis. Its description in RNAcentral is "partial 16S ribosomal RNA". It matches the Rfam family "Bacterial small subunit ribosomal RNA", at positions 1 to 134 of the family's 1533-position model. The record is from RNAcentral. Lineage: Bacteria; Bacillati; Bacillota; Bacilli; Caryophanales; Staphylococcaceae.
UUUAUGGAGAGUUUGAUCCUGGCUCAGGAUGAACGCUGGCGGCGUGCCUAAUACAUGCAAGUCGAGCGAACAGACGAGGAGCUUGCUUCUCUGACGUUAGCGGCGGACGGGUGAGUAACACGUGGAUAACCUAAGUAAC